AGGGUUCGAUUCUGGCUCAGGAUGAACGCUGGCGGCGUGCUUAACACAUGCAAGUCGAACGGAGAACCCCGGAUCGAGUUUCGGACAAGUGAAGGGAAUUCUUAGUGGCGGACGGGUGAGUAACGCGUGAGGAACCUGCCUUGGAGAGGGGAAUAACACAGAGAAAUUUGUGCUAAUACCGCAUAAAGCAGUUGGGUCGCAUGGCUCUGACUGCCAAAGAUUUAUCGCUCUGAGAUGGCCUCGCGUCUGAUUAGCUGGUUGGCGGGGUAACGGCCCACCAAGGCGACGAUCAGUAGCCGGACUGAGAGGUUGGCCGGCCACAUUGGGACUGAGACACGGCCCAGACUCCUACGGGAGGCAGCAGUGGGGAAUAUUGGGCAAUGGGCGCAAGCCCUGACCCAGCAACGCCGCGUGAAGGAAGAAGGCUUUCGGGUUGUAAACUUCUUUUAUGAGGGACGAAGAAAGUGACGGUACCUCAUGAAUAAGCUCCGGCUAACUACGUGCCAGCAGCGGC
RNAcentral lists this ribosomal RNA (514 nucleotides) under uncultured bacterium. Its description in RNAcentral is "bacterial SSU rRNA". It matches the Rfam family "Bacterial small subunit ribosomal RNA", at positions 8 to 518 of the family's 1533-position model. The record is from RNAcentral.